This is a long non-coding RNA of Papaver somniferum (opium poppy), 2336 nucleotides long. RefSeq lists it as uncharacterized. The record is from RefSeq and is a predicted model, not a curated record. Lineage: Eukaryota; Viridiplantae; Streptophyta; Magnoliopsida; Ranunculales; Papaveraceae. The transcript has 3 exons.
UAACAUUAAAACAUGAAUUACACUCUGUUUACACCCUUUAUUUAACUGGCCGUUAGUAACACCGUUUGUACAAAGGUGGGUAGACAAUACUUUUGUCACAGUUUACACCUAAUUAAUUUGUUACACUCUUUUUACAUCAAAUACUUAACUGGACGUUAAGUAACACCGUCAAGUUGGACAAUACUCCCGUGAGAAACUAACCCAAACAAAACUCUAUGAGAUUUUCUCUCAUUCUCCAAUUCACCUGAAACGAGAAGAAAAUCAACAAAGCAGCGGCUGCUGCUACUGAUUCAGACCGAGAAAUAGGCAGAGAUUGAGAGAUUAAAGAGAGAGAUUAAGAGUGAAUCAGAAAUUUUGAUUAAGAGAUUAAGAAAUCAAGUUACAGAUAAUGGUGAUGAUUCAGUUCGAGUAGGAUGGAUUUUGGGUGAAAUUUCGAGAGUAAGUCAGAUGAAUGAAGGGGGUUUUGUGCUGUUGAAAUGAAUGGUUGUCGUGUUUGUUGUUCAAAGGAAUUAGAAAACAUUUCAAAAUUACAGCGAGAUGGAACUGUGAUGCUAAUUCAAGAGAGGAUGAUGGUGUCUUUGGUCGAUAAUGGGGGCAGAAUGUGAAGGUUUAUGAAUGUUGGAUGAAUUCUGAACAUUGGGUUUGUGUUGAAUGUUAGUUCUCUGCAGGGAAGAUGAUAUAGAGAGGCUUAGAGAACACUAUCGAAGUUGUGUCUUCAUCAACAGAGUCAGUGCAUAUCAGGUGUUCGAGAAAUGGCCUGAAUGAGAUUUUCUUCACCACUCUGAGUUCUGGGAUGAAUAUUGUCCGAGUAAUGGGUGGAGAAGUGGUGCUGUUAACCGAGAAAACAGUUGGAGGAUAUGGCGUUGCAGAGUCUGGAUAAUGGGUAUUCUGAAUAGAGUUCAGCAGUUAGGGUUCUUGAAAGUGUUUAGUUAAUUUCAACAGCACCAUCUAAGGUACGACUAUCUCCUAUCUAGACUCAUUUUCACAUCUAAACUUCACACCAUGGUGGCUUGAUUCGGAUAGAGAAAAGAAAAUCAGGAAGAUAAAAUAGCCAAGGAGAUAGACUUGAUUGUUGAAAGAUGACUUGAUGAACACCCACGAAUAAGGAAACUUCGAUCACUAUUAGACCCAGCGCACAACAUUACAAACUGAUGACAGCAAAUAGGACGUAGAUUAAGUUGAGAGAAAGAUGAUCCUACUGCAUCAAAAUCCCAAACUUCAUCGAUUAUAUGCGAAGUAGUGGACUUUCACCGGUGAUCCGUAAAGCUCUAUACCUUGAAUUGUUGUCAAGGAUAUGGAUUUUGUUUUCUUCCAUUCAAGCCUUUACUGUCCAAAAUGGUAAGUCACCAUUUCAUCACACAAUUAUAAUAAGUUUUAAAUAGAAGUACAAAACUUAAGCUGAUUGAAAGCAAGACUGUGUACGGGCUUCGAUAUAUGAGUUUGGAUUAUGAAUUACAAAUAUGGUUGAACUGCGGCCAAUUGUCCAGAGGUUUGAAGUCACACAACUUUGGUGGUAAUCUCUAUUUCUCGAUAUAUCUAUUAAUUUUCUACACUAUUUUCUUAGCAUUUGUGACUUACUUAUUUCUGUUCGAUAUCUUUCUAUACUCUAUUCUCUUCUAUCUUUAUACUCUUACCAGUAUAAGGCCAGUACUCAUACUAACAAAAAUUGGAUUGCCAUUGUGUGUAUAUAACUAAAUCUCAUUGUAUAUUUGUUAUUAAGUCCGUUUUGUUGGGCAUGGCCAGGUUAAAAUUGGGUAUCCAAAUAGUAUUAAUGCGAAUUGCGAGGAUAUGUGUUAAAAUUUUCUUUGCACACUAUAAUACAUUACUUGCACCAUAAUCUCAAACUUGACGGGCUCGACGGUGGGAAAUUAAGGGUACUCUUAUUGGGUCUUAUGAUCCUACAGUAUGUUAACUCAGGGAUAUAUUAAUUGUUGAAUUAAUUUUUUUUGGCGAGGCGAACCGGAGCCACACCAAAUCAAAAAUCUUUGGCGACUGGCGUGGUGAAGCUAAGCUACACCAAAUCAAAAGUGCAUCGGGACGGGGGCGAGGUGAAGCCGAGCCACACCAAAUCAAAAAUCUUAAGGGACAAUAAGUCAAAGCUGAGCCACACCAACCAAAAGAGUUUGGACGUAGUCUAGGAACCACUACUCUACGACGUAAAAAAAGAAAUAUUUGACAAAUUUUAUUUGAAUUUAUAAACAAAACAGUGGUGUAGACUUAAAGGCCCACCACUUAGCCAUGUUAUGUUUUAUUAUGACCGAGUUGAGUAUGUUUUGUUAUGAUUGGGGUGAACAUUGUAUUAGAGAAGAAUUUGAUGAAAAAGAAUCUUAAAUCCU